Molecule: unclassified non-coding RNA, 239 nt
Filed under: Hevea brasiliensis (rubber tree)
Lineage: Eukaryota; Viridiplantae; Streptophyta; Magnoliopsida; Malpighiales; Euphorbiaceae
Source: RNAcentral
GCAGUCAUCAAAAUACAACUUUUCACUUGAUGUUUGAGUUCCUAAGCAUAAUGACCAAACUAUCAAACAUUCUCUGCGGCAUCUUUUUUUGACUCCUCUUCACUCCUUGCAGCAGCCAACCUCUCAGCUGCCAAUCUUUCUUCCAGCGCUCUAGCUCCCCUUUCUCUCCUCCUAGAUGCCUCAAUGGGGUCUGAACCAGGCAAUGGAGCACCUCCCAGAGUAUAACCGUGUGCUUCAGU